Molecule: long non-coding RNA, 1082 nt
Filed under: Struthio camelus australis
Lineage: Eukaryota; Metazoa; Chordata; Aves; Struthioniformes; Struthionidae
Description: lncRNA (ENSSCUG00000013077.1)
Source: RNAcentral
UCUCCCACAUGCUUGCAGUAGUGUCUUAUAACUUCUGAGCUAUUAGAUGUUUCCACCUCUUGGGCACUUCUAGCAUUCCUUUUUCCUCUACCUACUGCAAUUGCCUGCCUCAAGAAACUUGUGGUGUCAAACAGAUGAAGAGUUGUGUACACGUACACAAACAUUAUGACCAUUAGCCUCUUUAGAAAAAUAGGCUCAGAACAGUCCUGAGGGCUUCAAAUUUCCUUACCUUUCCUUCCCUGAACCUAUCUCCCAGACUAGUGGCCAUUCUUAGAGUUAAUUCUGUUUCCUGUAACGUGUUCCUUCUUGAAAGAGAGAACAAUGUGCCUUUAACUAGGAAGGUGCUGUCUGACAAGAUAUGAUUUUAGGUUAAUGUGAAAGGGUUUUUGUUUCCUUUCUGUCUCAAGAGUUUUUGAACCAUGCCAUGAUGUGAUACCACCAGAACCAUUUUUCAAAGGCUGUGUUUUUGAUGGAUGUCGCGUACCCAAUGCCUCCAUACAGUGUUCCAGUUUGGAGAUGUAUGCUACAGAGUGUGCUGCUAGAGGUAUCUGCAUUGACUGGAGAGGAAAGACCAACUCUACAUGCCGUAAGUACUGCAGAACUCAAAAAUGUAUGUGUAAAGCAGUAUUAACUAAGGUUUUAUUCAGUAAACACACCUGGCAUCUAAUGCUUGACUAUGGUAUUUUACCUACAAAAAUAUACACAGGCGUCUUUACCAACAGAAGCCCCAGAUGACAAAGGAAAAGCCAGAAACACCUAGGAACAUUUGCUACAAAAAAGUAUCUGAUACCAAUUUUUCAUCUAUUUCCUUCUUUUCUCUUAUAGCAUACAACUGUCCAGCAAACACAGUAUACAAGGCAUGUGGGCCCAUUAAUCCUGCUACCUGUGAGCCAAGCUCUGUUGAGCACAGCGGCUAUGGUGUAACCGAAGGAUGUUUCUGUCCUGAAGGACAGACUUUAAUCAGUGAAGACAGCAACAUCUGUGUCUCUGACUGUUGUAAGUACUCUGUAUUUAGUUUGGGGAAUAAAUAGAAAUCUGGACUGGGAGUCAAUGGAGUUCCACUGCCAUUUUCACAUGGUCAG